CCUACGGGUGGCUGCAGUGGGGAAUAUUGGGCAAUGGGCGCAAGCCUGACCCAGCAACGCCGCGUGAAGGAAGAAGGCUUUCGGGUUGUAAAAUUCUUUUCUCAGGGACGAAGCAAGUGACGGUACCGGAGGAAUAAGCCACGGCUAACUACGUGCCAGCAGCCGCGGUAAUACGUAGGUGGCAAGCGUUAUCCGGAUUUACUGGGUGUAAAGGGCGUGUAGGCGGGACUGCAAGUCAGAUGUGAAAACCACGGGCUCAACCUGUGGCCUGCAUUUGAAACUGUAGUCCUUGAGUACUGGAGAGGCAGACGGAAUGCGUGGUGUAGCGGUGAAAUGCGUAGAUAUUAGGCGGAACACCAGUGGCGAAGGCGGUCUGCUGGACAGCAACUGACGCUGAGGCGCGAAAGCGUGGGGAGCAAACGGGAUUAGAUACCCCAGUAGUC
This 443-nucleotide ribosomal RNA is filed under the name uncultured bacterium. Its description in RNAcentral is "partial 16S ribosomal RNA". It matches the Rfam family "Bacterial small subunit ribosomal RNA", at positions 338 to 795 of the family's 1533-position model. The record is from RNAcentral.